UACUCCUACGGGAGGCAGCAGUAGGGAAUUUUUCACAAUGGGCGAAAGCCUGAUGGAGCAAUGCCGCGUGAAUGAUGAAGGUCUUAUAGAUUGUAAAAUUCUUUUAUUUGGGAAGAACGACUAAAGUAGGAAAUGACUUUAGUGUGACUGUACCAUUUGAAUAAGUAUCGGCUAACUAUGUGCCAGCAGCCGCGGUAAUACAUAGGAUGCAAGCGUUAUCCGGAUUUACUGGGCGUAAAACGAGCGCAGGCGGAUUAGCAAGUUUGGUAUGAAAGGCUUUUGCUUAACGAAAGUUUGUAUCAAAAACUGCUAAUCUGGAGUGUAGUAGGGAGUUUUAGAAUUCCAUGUGGAGCGGUGGAAUGCGUAGAUAUAUGGAAGAAUACCGGUGGCGAAGGCGAAAACUUAGGCUAUCACUGACGCUUAGGCUCGAAAGUGUGUGGAGCAAAUAGGAUUAGAUACCCUAGUAGUCCACACCGUAAACGAUGGUUAUUAAGUGUUGGUACGAUUGUAUCAGCGCUGCAGCUAACGCAUUAAAUAACCUGCCUGGGUAGUACAUUCGCAAGAAUGAAACUCAAACGGAAUUGACGGGGACCCGCACAAGUGAUGGAGCAUGUUGCUUAAUUGGAGGAUACAUGUAAAACCUUGCCUAGUAC
This 653-nucleotide ribosomal RNA is filed under the name uncultured bacterium. RNAcentral's name for it is "bacterial SSU rRNA". It matches the Rfam family "Bacterial small subunit ribosomal RNA", at positions 334 to 981 of the family's 1533-position model. The record is from RNAcentral.